This 72-nucleotide transfer RNA is filed under the name Candidatus Parcubacteria bacterium. Its description in RNAcentral is "tRNA-Thr". It matches the Rfam family "tRNA". Rfam says of the family: Transfer RNA (tRNA) molecules are approximately 80 nucleotides in length. Their secondary structure includes four short double-helical elements and three loops (D, anti-codon, and T loops). The record is from RNAcentral. RNAcentral also lists the same sequence under 1 other name. Lineage: Bacteria; Candidatus Parcubacteria.
GCCAGCGUAGCUCAAUGGUAGAGCGGGUCCUUCGUAAGGACAAGGCUAUGGGUUCAAAUCCCAUCGCUGGCU